UACGUAGGGGGCAAGCGUUGUCCGGAUUUAUUGGGCGUAAAGAGCGUGUAGGCGGUUUGGUAGGUCCGCUGUGAAAACUCGAGGCUCAACCUCGAGACGCCGGUGGAAACCUUCAGACUAGAGUCCGGAAGAGGAGAGUGGAAUUCCUGGUGUAGCGGUGAAAUGCGCAGAUAUCAGGAAGAACACCCGUGGCUAAGGCGGCUCUCUAGUACGGUACUGACGCUGAGACGCGAAAGCGUGGGGAGCGAACAGG
Molecule: ribosomal RNA, 253 nt
Filed under: uncultured bacterium
Lineage: Bacteria
Description: partial 16S ribosomal RNA
Rfam family: Bacterial small subunit ribosomal RNA
Source: RNAcentral